RNAcentral lists this ribosomal RNA (405 nucleotides) under uncultured bacterium. RNAcentral's name for it is "bacterial SSU rRNA". It matches the Rfam family "Bacterial small subunit ribosomal RNA", at positions 354 to 776 of the family's 1533-position model. The record is from RNAcentral.
GUGGGGAAUAUUGCACAAUGGGGGAAACCCUGAUGCAGCGACGCCGCGUGAAGGAAGAAGUAUUUCGGUAUGUAAACUUCUAUCAGCAGGGAAGAAAAUGACGGUACCUGACUAAGAAGCCCCGGCUAACUACGUGCCAGCAGCCGCGGUAAUACGUAGGGGGCAAGCGUUAUCCGGAUUUACUGGGUGUAAAGGGAGCGUAGACGGACAUGCAAGUCUGGAGUGAAAGCCCGGGGCUCAACCCCGUGACUGCUUUGGAAACUGUGAGUCUGGAGUACCGGAGAGGCAGGCGGAAUUCCCAGUGUAGCGGUGAAAUGCGUAGAUAUUGGGAGGAACACCAGUGGCGAAGGCGGCCUGCUGGACGGUAACUGACGUUGAGGCUCGAAAGCGUGGGGAGCAAACAGG